This 551-nucleotide unclassified non-coding RNA is filed under the name Cladosporium xanthochromaticum. RNAcentral describes it as "sequence contains 18S rRNA gene, ITS1, 5.8S rRNA gene, ITS2, 28S rRNA gene". The stretch from base 199 to 352 matches the Rfam family "5.8S ribosomal RNA". Lineage: Eukaryota; Fungi; Ascomycota; Dothideomycetes; Cladosporiales; Cladosporiaceae. The record is from RNAcentral.
UCGUAACAAGGUCUCCGUAGGUGAACCUGCGGAGGGAUCAUUACAAGUGACCCCGGUUUACCACCGGGAUGUUCAUAACCCUUUGUUGUCCGACUCUGUUGCCUCCGGGGCGACCCUGCCUUCGGGCGGGGGCUCCGGGUGGACACUUCAAACUCUUGCGUAACUUUGCAGUCUGAGUAAACUUAAUUAAUAAAUUAAAACUUUUAACAACGGAUCUCUUGGUUCUGGCAUCGAUGAAGAACGCAGCGAAAUGCGAUAAGUAAUGUGAAUUGCAGAAUUCAGUGAAUCAUCGAAUCUUUGAACGCACAUUGCGCCCCCUGGUAUUCCGGGGGGCAUGCCUGUUCGAGCGUCAUUUCACCACUCAAGCCUCGCUUGGUAUUGGGCAACGCGGUCCGCCGCGUGCCUCAAAUCGACCGGCUGGGUCUUCUGUCCCCUAAGCGUUGUGGAAACUAUUCGCUAAAGGGUGCUCGGGAGGCUACGCCGUAAAACAACCCCAUUUCUAAGGUUGACCUCGGAUCAGGUAGGGAUACCCGCUGAACUUAAGCAUAUCA